Molecule: ribosomal RNA, 301 nt
Filed under: uncultured bacterium
Lineage: Bacteria
Description: partial 16S ribosomal RNA
Rfam family: Bacterial small subunit ribosomal RNA
Source: RNAcentral
CAGUAGCCGCGGGAAUACGUAGGUGGCAAGCGUUGUCCGGAAUUAUUGGGCGUAAAGGGCUCGCAGGCGGUUUCUUAAGUCUGAUGUGAAAGCCCCCGGCUCAACCUAGGAAUUGCAUUUGAUACUGUUUGGCUUGAGUUCGGGAGAGGUGAGUGGAAUUCCCAGUGUAGAGGUGAAAUUCGUAGAUAUUGGGAAGAACGCCAGUGGCGAAGGCGGCUCACUGGACCGACACUGACGCUGAGGCGCGAAAGCGUGGGGAGCAAACAGGAUUAGAGACCCCGGUAGUCCCUGUCUCUUAUAC